RNAcentral lists this ribosomal RNA (528 nucleotides) under uncultured bacterium. RNAcentral describes it as "bacterial SSU rRNA". It matches the Rfam family "Bacterial small subunit ribosomal RNA", at positions 776 to 1304 of the family's 1533-position model. The record is from RNAcentral.
AAAUAGAUACCCAGGUAGUCCACGCCGUAAACGGUGGGCACUAGAUGUGGGGCUCUUUCCAUGAGUUCCGCGUCGCAGCUAACGCAUUAAGUGCCCCGCCUGGGGAGUACGGCCGCAAGGCUAAAACUCAAAGGAAUUGACGGGGGCCCGCACAAGCGGCGGAGCAUGCGGAUUAAUUCGAUGCAACGCGAAGAACCUUACCAAGGCUUGACAUAUACGGUCUAUCCCUAGAGAUAGGGAGUGCUUCGGCGCCGUAUACAGGUGGUGCAUGGUUGUCGUCAGCUCGUGUCGUGAGAUGUUGGGUUAAGUCCCGCAACGAGCGCAACCCUCGUCCUAUGUUGCCAGCGGAUAAUGCCGGGGACUCAUGGGAGACUGCCGGGGUCAACUCGGAGGAAGGUGGGGAUGAGGUCAAAUCAUCAUGCCCCUUAUGUCUUGGGCUUCACGCAUGCUACAAUGGCCGGUACAAAGGGCUGCAAUACCGCGAGGUGGAGCGAAUCCCAAAAAGCCGGUCUCAGUUCGGAUUGAGGU